GGAAAGGAUGCAGCUAAAUGGUACAGGAUCCGCUUGGCAUGCAAAAGGUCCCAGGUUCAAUUCUUGGCAUCUCCA
RNAcentral lists this transfer RNA (75 nucleotides) under Sphaerodactylus townsendi. Its description in RNAcentral is "tRNA-Ala". Lineage: Eukaryota; Metazoa; Chordata; Lepidosauria; Squamata; Sphaerodactylidae. The record is from RNAcentral.